Cygnus olor (mute swan) is the source of this 1805-nucleotide long non-coding RNA. RefSeq lists it as uncharacterized. The record is from RefSeq and is a predicted model, not a curated record. Lineage: Eukaryota; Metazoa; Chordata; Aves; Anseriformes; Anatidae. The transcript is spliced from 3 exons.
CACUGCUGCCCUGAGCCAUUCUCCAGCCGGGAGAGCUGGCAAUCAGUCCCAGUCCCUUGUGUAAUCAACUAGCUCACCUCGGAGAUAUGCUCACAUCGUGCUGGCGCAGACUCACUUCUUCCACUUUGCAGCGCUACGAUCUGCAGACAGAACUCUGGCCCAGAUUACUCUAUAGUUAAGACAAAACUAGUGUCUUUGUGACAAUUUCUGGAAAAACAAACAUGCAAAAACCCAAGGCAACAUCCUCCGCUGGCUUAAGUGAGUGUAGCUCCUUAGCACUUGUUUCCAUUAGCAGAGGUGCUGGCUCCCGAAAGCCGUUUUGCUCUGUGCUGCUGGCAUAUUUCUGAUUGUGUUGUCAGCAGGAGUCAAGCAAACCACGUUAACGUUGGGAGCUGUGUCUGUGCAGCUAGCUACGUAUAGCUUUCCACCCCACAAGCAUCUGACCUAUGUUAACGACAUCGCGGCAGCUAAAAUUGCAAUGCAACAAUAAAAUUCUCUGUGUGGUAAAAAAUGGCUGUAAAAUUCCCCGUGAAAAAUCCCACUUGAUCUAUAGAUUAAAAACGAAACCAAAGCCCAGCCACUCAGGAAUGCUGAGCACCGCAGACGGGAAUGCUGAUCGUGCUUCGGGACACGGACGGCAGCCUGGGAUCCCGCUGCGGUGCUGCCUCUCCUCCCCGGCGCUCACAGAACUGCACAAGAGAAAGAGCCAGGCACGACUCCGCACAGCACCCUGUGGGAUCGCAACCUCCACGCUCAUUCUUGCAGGCAGAGGGCCCUGCGUGUUAGAUUCCAAGCAUUUUUAAUUAAAAGGGACUGGCUGUUGACAGGAACAGCCAAGGAUCAGUAUCAACAGGGAGGCUGGGUAGUGGGGAGCCAGUGCAGCACCCUGUGUCCUAAAGAAAGAGGAUGUUUUCUCGGCUGUGUGCACAGGACUGAGUGCCAGAGACCACAAUGACGCUGGAAAGCACAAGGUGGAAUUAAGUGACAUGCUGCUCAGGGUACAUUUCCAAAGGAGCAAUUUCAACAGGAGCUGCCAGUGCAGCAUGCCCACCCUCACUGGCAUGCAGUUUCUCAAGACAACCAAAUGGCUGGUGAUGCAGUUACACAGCUCUGCUUGUAAUUCAGACAGAAAACCACAGGAGCUGGUUUACAACCAUGGGAUAAGAGUAUUCUCCUCAUUCAAAAAGAUGUGUUACAGGCUUCCAAGCUACAGAAAGAGCCUGGCUGUGAUGCAUAGGCAUCUCAACUAGACACGCAUUAUCAUCAAACAAGAGCCUAGGGAGCCCAACUGCCAGCCCCACUACUUGAGAAGAGGUUUCCAAAAUGUGUCAUUGCAACAGGAUCCUGUAAACUGGAACUUCAGAGCUAAGAAUAACUAGAAAUGGAUGCCUCAGCACUGGGGAAAAUCUCACCAAGCCGCCUACCCUGCUCCCAAGGUUGGAUUCUCUCAAUGACCAGAGAUCGAUUGCUGGUGAGUUGCUUCUAGCCCCAGUGUUGGUUGGUGCAGUCUCGUGUACACACCUUCAAAGUCUCUGUCAUCCCUUGACUGUACUCCUCUAACUGAGGCUGCACUACAGAUUCACAUCAUCAAGGCAAGUAAAGCAGGAUGGGAUGGAUCAGGAAUGCAGGUUUCAUCAAGCGUGAACACUGCAGAAAUCAACAAGAAACAGCAAGAGACUAUUUCCAGCCUAGAAACAAAUGAGCCCCUAAGGAUGCGAGAAACAGGGACACGGGGUGGUCACUGGCAUGCACAUAAUACAAGAGAAGAGCAAAUAGUGCCUGACGACAGACUUCCAGAGAUGUUC